GUGCUUACUUCAGCAGCACAUAUAGUAAAAUUGGAAGGAUACAGAGAAGAUUAGCAAGGCCCCUGAACAAGGAUGACAUGUAAAUUCAUGAAGCAUUACAUAUUAAA
This is a small nuclear RNA of Otolemur garnettii (small-eared galago), 107 nucleotides long. The record is from Ensembl. Lineage: Eukaryota; Metazoa; Chordata; Mammalia; Primates; Galagidae.